UCUCUUCACAGCCAUUCCGUUUCCAGUCCUGAUCUACACCCUCAAGUGCAGCAGAAAGGAAUAGGUGCAGAAAGGAAAGCUGACUGUGGGCACUCACUGUGAGCAGCAGUGAGCUCCAACCGCCUCUUCUCUAAUGCCGACUUCAGCAUUGUGCUUAUGCAUCAUUUAAAGGGGGCCCAUUCUGAGAAAUGUGUUAUUAGGUGAUUCCACUGUACGAACAGAGUGCAUUUGGAGUAAAACUAAAUGCUGUGGGCCACUCAGGGCUCUUGAUGCAAUUAAGGGAUGGCAAACAUGAGACACGCCAGGAUGCUGGCAUGUAACCCAGAAGGGUGUUUCAGGGCAAACUGUUCUAGUAUGCAGAAGGAACUCACUGGGAAAUUAUGAUAAAAAUAUACCCAAUAAACUAAUAAUGGCUAUGUCUAUUACCAUCUUAUAAUUAUUAAAAGUUUUAUUC
Molecule: long non-coding RNA, 454 nt
Filed under: Mus spretus (western wild mouse)
Lineage: Eukaryota; Metazoa; Chordata; Mammalia; Rodentia; Muridae
Description: predicted gene 12867 (ENSMSPG00010042112.1)
Source: RNAcentral